Molecule: ribosomal RNA, 454 nt
Filed under: uncultured anaerobic ammonium-oxidizing bacterium
Lineage: Bacteria
Description: bacterial SSU rRNA
Rfam family: Bacterial small subunit ribosomal RNA
Source: RNAcentral
AGGGUGACGAAGCGACGCCGCGUGGGUGAGGAAGGCCCUCGGGUUGUAAAGCCCUGUCAGGAGUUAAGAAAUGUAGGUACGCUAAUAUCGUAUCUAUUUGACAAAGGCUCCAAAGGAAGCCACGGCUAACUCUGUGCCAGCAGCCGCGGUAAUACAGAGGUGGCAAGCGUUGUUCGGAAUUAUUGGGCGUAAAGAGCACGUAGGUGGAUUUGUAAGUCAGAUGUGAAAGCCUUCUGUUCAACGGAAGAAUUGCAUCUGAAACUACAAACCUUGAGUAUAGGAGGGGAGAAUGGAACUUCUGGUGGAGCGGUGAAAUGCGUAGAUAUCAGAAGGAACGCCGGCGGCGAAAGCGAUUCUCUGGCCUAUUACUGACACUCAGUGUGCGAAAGCUAGGGGAGCAAACGGGAUUAGAUACCCCGGUAGUCCUAGCCGUAAACGAUGGGCACUAAGUAGA